Molecule: non-coding RNA, 94 nt
Organism: Paramuricea clavata
Lineage: Eukaryota; Metazoa; Cnidaria; Anthozoa; Malacalcyonacea; Plexauridae
Source: the annotation of a GenBank genome assembly
AUAAAGAUGCCUAGUGGAAUUUGUUGAGUCGUUGCACUUAUUUUAUAUAUAUAAAAAAUAAGUGCAACGACUCAACAAAUUCCACUAGGCAUCU